RNAcentral lists this ribosomal RNA (548 nucleotides) under uncultured Glomeromycotina. Its description in RNAcentral is "SSU rRNA". It matches the Rfam family "Eukaryotic small subunit ribosomal RNA", at positions 548 to 1098 of the family's 1831-position model. The record is from RNAcentral. Lineage: Eukaryota; Fungi; Glomeromycota.
UUGGAGGGCAAGUCUGGUGCCAGCAGCCGCGGUAAUUCCAGCUCCAAUAGCGUAUAUUAAAGUUGUUGCAGUUAAAAAGCUCGCAGUUGAAUUUCGGGAUCAGAGUGUCGGUCGUGCCUCGGUACGCACUGGUAUUAUUGGUUCCUACCUUCUGAAGAACCGCGAUGUCAUUAAUUUGGUGUCGUGGGGAAUCAGGACUGUUACUUUGAAAAAAUUAGAGUGUUUAAAGCAGGCUUACGCUUGAAUACAUUAGCAUGGAAUAAUGAAAUAGGACGUUUGAUUCUAUUUUGUUGGUUUCUAGGAUUGACGUAAUGAUUAAUAGGGAUAGUUGGGGGCAUUAGUAUUCAAUUGUCAGAGGUGAAAUUCUUGGAUUUAUUGAAGACUAACUACUGCGAAAGCAUUUGCCAAGGAUGUUUUCAUUAAUCAAGAACGAAAGUUAGGGGAUCGAAGACGAUCAGAUACCGUCGUAGUCUUAACCAUAAACUAUGCCGACUAGGGAUCGGAUGAUGUUAAUUUUUUAAUGACUCAUUCGGCGCCUUACGGGAAAC